UGCAGGUUGCUAACCGCGCUCGUUAAGACGUUGCUAGAACCGACUAGUUAAUAUAGGGAGAGACGUAUUGUUGCCUUGUCACCGGCGCUGACCGCGUAAGACCCAAGGUUCGGUCAGUUGUUUUUGGUUAAGAGUACGGUAGGCCGUGCAUGCGUCAUACCAAAAAUCGGUAAUGUUCUCUUCUCAACAGCAACCCUGUCCGACAGAGUUCUUUUGGAUCUAAGGAUUUCUAGUUCCUCUUAGUUGCUUUCGGUUAAGCCCUUCUGCUUCUCUAUCCGACCCCUGAUCCUCGAGGUUAUCUC
This 302-nucleotide long non-coding RNA is filed under the name Setaria viridis. Its description in RNAcentral is "long non-coding RNA (SVIR_LNC003908)". Lineage: Eukaryota; Viridiplantae; Streptophyta; Magnoliopsida; Poales; Poaceae. The record is from RNAcentral.